CGUAGGGUGCGAGCGUUAAUCGGAAUCACUGGGCGUAAAGCGUGCGCAGGCGGUUAUAUAAGACAGAUGUGAAAUCCCCGGGCUCAACCUGGGAACUGCAUUUGUGACUGUAUAGCUAGAGUACGGCAGAGGGGGAUGGAAUUCCGCGUGUAGCAGUGAAAUGCGUAGAUAUGCGGAGGAACACCGAUGGCGAAGGCAAUCCCCCUGGGCCUGUACUGACGCUCAUGCACGAAAGCGUGGGGAGCAAAACAGGAUUAGAUACCCUGGUAGUCCACGCCCUAAACGAUGUCAACUGGUUGUUGGGUCUUCACUGACUCAGUAACGAAGCUAACGCGUGAAGUUGACCGCCUGGGGAUACGGCGCAAGGUUG
Molecule: ribosomal RNA, 370 nt
Filed under: uncultured organism
Description: bacterial SSU rRNA
Rfam family: Bacterial small subunit ribosomal RNA
Source: RNAcentral